CAGCCGCCGCGGUAAUACGGAGGGAGCUAGCGUUGUUCGGAGUUACUGGGCGUAAAGCGCGCGUAGGCGGUUAUUUAAGUCAGGGGUGAAAGCCCGGUGCUCAACACCGGAACAGCCCUUGAGACUGGAUAACUUGAAUCCAGGAGAGGUGAGUGGAAUUCCGAGUGUAGCGGUGAAAUGCGUAGAGAUCUGGAGGAAUACCGAUGGCGAAGGCAGCCAUCUGGCCUAAUACUGACGCUGAGGUACGAAAGCAUGGGGAGCAAACAGGAUUAGAGACCCCAGUAGUCCCUGUCUCUUAUAC
Molecule: ribosomal RNA, 301 nt
Filed under: uncultured bacterium
Lineage: Bacteria
Description: partial 16S ribosomal RNA
Rfam family: Bacterial small subunit ribosomal RNA
Source: RNAcentral